Molecule: ribosomal RNA, 327 nt
Filed under: uncultured eukaryote
Lineage: Eukaryota
Description: partial 18S ribosomal RNA
Rfam family: Eukaryotic small subunit ribosomal RNA
Source: RNAcentral
CCCUUAGAUGUUCUGGGCCGCACGCGCGCUACACUGACGAAUGCAACGAGCUUAUAACCUUGGCCGAAAGGUCUGGGUAAUCUCCAAAUUUCGUCGUGAUGGGGAUAGAUUAUUGCAAUUAUUAAUCUUCAACGAGGAAUGCCUAGUAAGCGCAAGUCAUCAGCUUGUGUUGAUUACGUCCCUGCCCUUUGUACACACCGCCCGUCGCUCCUACCGAUUGAAUGGUCCGGUGAAGCGUUCGGACCGUGGCCUUUGGACGGUUCGCCGUCUGUUGGCUGCGGGAAGUUCGUUAAACCUUAUCAUUUAGAGGAAGGAGAAGUCGUANCA